RNAcentral lists this ribosomal RNA (358 nucleotides) under uncultured bacterium. RNAcentral's name for it is "bacterial SSU rRNA". It matches the Rfam family "Bacterial small subunit ribosomal RNA", at positions 8 to 353 of the family's 1533-position model. The record is from RNAcentral.
AGAGUUUGAUCAUGGCUCAGGAUGAACGCUAGCUACAGGCUUAACACAUGGCAAGUCAGGGGAAACGAUAUUGGAAGCUUGCUUCCGAUAGGCGUCGACCGGCGCACGGGUGAGUAACGCGUAUCCAACCUGCCCACCACUUGGGGAUAACCUUGCGAAAGUAAGACUAAUACCCAAUGAUAUCUCUAGAAGACAUCUGAAAGAGAUUAAAGAUUUAUACGGUGAUGGAUGGGGAGUGCGUCUGAUUAGCUUGUUGGCGGGGUAACGGCCCACCAAGGCGACGAUCAGUAGGGGUUCUGAGAGGAAGGUCCCCCACAUUGGAACUGAGACACGGUCCAAACUCCUACGGGAGGCAGCA